GAUGAACGCUGGCGGCGUGCUUAACACAUGCAAGUCGAACGAAGCACCUUGAUUUGAUUCUUCGGAUGAAGAUCCUGGUGACUGAGUGGCGGACGGGUGAGUAACGCGUGGGUAACCUGCCUCAUACAGGGGGAUAACAGUUAGAAAUGACUGCUAAUACCGCAUAAGACCACAGCACCGCAUGGUGCAGGGGUAAAAACUCCGGUGGUAUGAGAUGGACCCGCGUCUGAUUAGGUAGUUGGUGGGGUAACGGCCUACCAAGCCGACGAUCAGUAGCCGACCUGAGAGGGUGACCGGCCACAUUGGGACUGAGACACGGCCCAAACUCCUACGGGAGGCAGCAGUGGGGAAUAUUGCACAAUGGGGGAAACCCUGAUGCAGCGACGCCGCGUGAGCGAUGAAGUAUUUCGGUAUGUAAAGCUCUAUCAGCAGGGAAGAAAAUGACGG
RNAcentral lists this ribosomal RNA (447 nucleotides) under uncultured bacterium. RNAcentral's name for it is "bacterial SSU rRNA". It matches the Rfam family "Bacterial small subunit ribosomal RNA", at positions 28 to 457 of the family's 1533-position model. The record is from RNAcentral.